This 500-nucleotide ribosomal RNA is filed under the name uncultured bacterium. RNAcentral's name for it is "bacterial SSU rRNA". It matches the Rfam family "Bacterial small subunit ribosomal RNA", at positions 8 to 507 of the family's 1533-position model. The record is from RNAcentral.
AGAGUUUGAUCAUGGCUCAGGAUGAACGCUAGCGGGAGGACCUAACACAUGCAAGCCGAGCGGUAUUGUUUCUUCGGAAAUGAGAGAGCGGCGUACGGGUGCGGAACACGUGUGCAACCUGCCUUUAUCUGGGGAUAGCCUUUCGAAAGGAAGAUUAAUACUCCAUAAUAUAUUGAACGGCAUCGUUUAAUAUUGAAAGCUCCGGCGGAUAGAGAUGGGCACGCGCAAGAUUAGCUAGUUGGUGAGGUAACGGCUCACCAAGGCAAUGAUCUUUAGGGGGCCUGAGAGGGUGAUCCCCCCACACUGGUACUGAGACACGGACCAGACUCCUACGGGAGGCAGCAGUGAGGAAUAUUGGUCAAUGGGUGCAAGCCUGAACCAGCCAUCCCGCGUGAAGGACGACUGCCCUAUGGGUUGUAAACUUCUUUUGUAUAGGGAUAAACCUUUCCACGUGUGGAAAGCUGAAGGUACUAUACGAAUAAGCACCGGCUAACUCCGUG